GACGAGGGGUCCUAGCGUUGUUCGGAAUCACUGGGCGUAAAGCGCAUGUAGGCGGCUUUUCAAGUCAGAUGUGAAAGCCCCUGGCUUAACCAGGGAAUUGCAUUUGAAACUGUAGAGCUUGAGUAUGGGAGAGGAUGGUAGAAUUCCAGGUGUAGUGGUGAAAUACGUAGAUAUCUGGAGGAACACCGGUGGCGAAGGCGGCCAUCUGGCCUAAUACUGACGCUGAGAUGCGAAAGUGCGGGGAUCAAAC
Molecule: ribosomal RNA, 250 nt
Filed under: uncultured bacterium
Lineage: Bacteria
Description: partial 16S ribosomal RNA
Rfam family: Bacterial small subunit ribosomal RNA
Source: RNAcentral